GGAAUUGUUCGCAAUGGGCGCAAGCCUGACGACGCAACGCCGCGUGGAGGAUGAAGGUCUUCGGAUUGUAAACUCCUGUUGCCCGGGACGAAAUGUUCAGCCCUAACACGUCUGAGUUUGACGGUCCCGGGUGAGGAAGCCCCGGCUACCUCUGGGCCAGCAGCCGCGGUAAUACAGAGGGGGCAAGCGUUGUUCGGAAUUUCGGGGCGUAAAGGGCGCGUAGGCGGCCCUCUAAGUCGAACGUGAAAUCCCUGGGCUCAACCCAGGAACUGCGUCCGAGACUGGGGGGCUCGAAUCCGGGAGAGGGAUGUGGAAUUCCAGGUGUAGCGGUGAAAUGCGUAGAUAUCUGGAGGAGCAUCGGUGGCGAAGGCGGCAUCCUGGACCGGUAUUGACGCUGAGGCGCGAAAGCCAGGGGAGCAAA
RNAcentral lists this ribosomal RNA (421 nucleotides) under uncultured bacterium. Its description in RNAcentral is "bacterial SSU rRNA". It matches the Rfam family "Bacterial small subunit ribosomal RNA", at positions 358 to 772 of the family's 1533-position model. The record is from RNAcentral.